This is a long non-coding RNA of Arabidopsis thaliana (thale cress), 453 nucleotides long. RefSeq annotates it as other RNA. The record is from RefSeq. Lineage: Eukaryota; Viridiplantae; Streptophyta; Magnoliopsida; Brassicales; Brassicaceae. The transcript has a single exon.
CCCUCCCAUAUAUUGGUAUGAAUUAGGGUCUACAAUUCAUAUCAUUAUCAAGAUUCUUUUUCAAGCAUGCAAGUACUACAACACAUGACUUAAACAAAAUCAGCGCCUUUUAAUUCGACUUCACAACCUAACUCCAAGGCCUUUGUAGCUAUUAUCUCACGUAUCAUCCACGCAAAGCUAUUCAUCCUCGACAGUCACCAAGUUCUCCUCCCAUAACCGAUGCUCUGCUUUCUCUUUGGUUCUGGCAUUUUCCAUCCAAAUCAUCAUCUUUCUCUGUUUUGUCUAUUCCUCUAUUGUAGUCUCAAAGAUGUGGCGGCUGUUAAAUACUAUAAUCGCUUCCGCCUAUAUAAGAUGUUUAUCUCCUCAUAAUAACAAGACGCCUAAUUCCAAUACUGAGAAGAUAAUUGUCACGGUUUUUAUGGUUGCUUGCUUACCAUGUCUAAGCCUUAACCG